Molecule: ribosomal RNA, 465 nt
Filed under: uncultured bacterium
Lineage: Bacteria
Description: partial 16S ribosomal RNA
Rfam family: Bacterial small subunit ribosomal RNA
Source: RNAcentral
CUACGGGCUGCUCCAGUGGGGAAUAUUGGACAAUGGGGGAAACCCUGAUCCAGCAAUGCCGCGUGUGUGAAGAAGGCCUGCGGGUUGUAAAGCACUUUCGGUUGGGAGGACUGCUUCUAGCACUAAUAUUGUUGGAAGUUGACGUUACCUUCAGAAGAAGCACCGGCUAACUCCGUGCCAGCAGCCGCGGUAAUACGGAGGGUGCAAGCGUGAAUCGGAAUUACUGAGCGUAAAGCGCGCGUAGGCGGCUAGAUCAGUCGGGUGUGAAAGCCCCGGGCUUAACCUGGGAACUGCAUCCGAUACUGGCUAGCUUGAGUACAGGAGAGGAGAGUGGAAUUCCACAUGUAGCGGUGAAAUGCGUAGAUAUGUGGAGGAACACCAAUGGCGAAGGCAGCUCUCUGGCCUGAUACUGACGCUGAGGUGCGAAAGCGUGGGGAGCAAACAGGAUUAGAUACCCCGGUAGUC